Molecule: ribosomal RNA, 429 nt
Filed under: Gemmatimonadota bacterium
Lineage: Bacteria; Pseudomonadati; Gemmatimonadota
Description: Gemmatimonadetes bacterium partial 16S ribosomal RNA
Rfam family: Bacterial small subunit ribosomal RNA
Source: RNAcentral
UAGGGAAUCUUCGGCAAUGGACGAAAGUCUGACCGAGCAACGCCGCGUGAGUGAAGAAGGUUUUCGGAUCGUAAAACUCUGUUGUUAGAGAAGAACAAGGACGUUAGUAACUGAACGUCCCCUGACGGUAUCUAACCAGAAAGCCACGGCUAACUACGUGCCAGCAGCCGCGGUAAUACGUAGGUGGCAAGCGUUGUCCGGAUUUAUUGGGCGUAAAGCGAGCGCAGGCGGUUUCUUAAGUCUGAUGUGAAAGCCCCCGGCUCAACCGGGGAGGGUCAUUGGAAACUGGGAGACUUGAGUGCAGAAGAGGAGAGUGGAAUUCCAUGUGUAGCGGUGAAAUGCGUAGAUAUAUGGAGGAACACCAGUGGCGAAGACGGCUCUCUGGUCUGUAACUGACGCUGAGGCUCGAAAGCGUGGGGAGCAAACAGG